UACGUAGGGGGCAAGCGUUGUCCGGAAUCAUUGGGCGUAAAGAGCGCGUAGGCGGCCCAGUAAGUCCGCUCUGAAAGUCAGGGGCUCAACCCCUGGAUGCGGGUGGAUACUGCUGGGCUAGAGUCCGGAAGAGGCGAGUGGAAUUCCUGGUGUAGCGGUGAAAUGCGCAGAUAUCAGGAGGAACACCGAUGGCGAAGGCAGCUCGCUGGGACGGUACUGACGCUGAGGCGCGAAAGCGUGGGGAGCAAACAGGAUUAGAUACCCUGGUAGUCCACGCCGUAAACGAUGGACACUAGGUGUGGGAGGUGUCGACUCCUCCCGUGCCGAAGCUAACGCAUUAAGUGUCCCGCCUGGGGAGUACGGCCGCAAGGCUAAA
This 376-nucleotide ribosomal RNA is filed under the name uncultured bacterium. Its description in RNAcentral is "bacterial SSU rRNA". It matches the Rfam family "Bacterial small subunit ribosomal RNA", at positions 524 to 898 of the family's 1533-position model. The record is from RNAcentral.